UAAACGAUGGUGUAAUAUAGCACGUAAAGCUUUGAACUUUAAGGCAAUAAAGUUUUAUUUCGUUUAA
This 67-nucleotide transfer RNA is filed under the name Menacanthus cornutus. RNAcentral's name for it is "tRNA-Gln". The record is from RNAcentral. Lineage: Eukaryota; Metazoa; Arthropoda; Insecta; Psocodea; Menoponidae.